UGACCUGAACUCAGACGCGAUCACCCGCUGAACUUAAGCAUAUCAGUAAGCGGAGGAAAAGAAACUAACAAGGAUUCCCUUAGUAACGGCGAGUGAAA
RNAcentral lists this ribosomal RNA (98 nucleotides) under Gracilacus aculentus. Its description in RNAcentral is "partial 28S ribosomal RNA". It matches the Rfam family "Eukaryotic large subunit ribosomal RNA", at positions 1 to 98 of the family's 3401-position model. Lineage: Eukaryota; Metazoa; Nematoda; Chromadorea; Rhabditida; Tylenchulidae. The record is from RNAcentral. RNAcentral also lists the same sequence under 2 other names.